This 497-nucleotide ribosomal RNA is filed under the name uncultured bacterium. RNAcentral describes it as "partial 16S ribosomal RNA". It matches the Rfam family "Bacterial small subunit ribosomal RNA", at positions 28 to 507 of the family's 1533-position model. The record is from RNAcentral.
GAUGAACGCUGGCGGCGUGCCUAAUACAUGCAAGUCGAGCGAACAGACGAGGAGCUUGCUCCUCUGACGUUAGCGGCGGACGGGUGAGUAACACGUGGAUAACCUACCUAUAAGACUGGGAUAACUUCGGGAAACCGGCGCUAAUACCGGAUAAUAUAUUGAACCGCAUGGUUCAAUAGUGAAAGACGGUUUUGCUGUCACUUAUAGAUGGAUACGCGCCGCAUUAGCUAGUUGGUAAGGUAACGGCUUACCAAGGCAACGAUGCGUAGCCGACCUGAGAGGGUGAUCGGCCACACUGGAACUGAGACACGGUCCAGACUCCUACGGGAGGCAGCAGUAGGGAAUCUUCCGCAAUGGGCGAAAGCCUGACGGAGCAACGCCGCGUGAGUGAUGAAGGUCUUCGGAUCGUAAAACUCUGUUAUUAGGGAAGAACAAAUGUGUAAGUAACUAUGCACGUCUUGACGGUACCUAAUCAGAAAGCCACGGCUAACUACGUG